AGCGAACGCUGGCGGCAGGCCUAACACAUGCAAGUCGAACGCCCCUUCGGGGGAGUGGCGGACGGGUGAGUAACGCGUGGGAAUGUGCCCUUUGGUACGGAACAACUGAGGGAGACUUCAGCUAAUACCGUAUGUGCCCUACGGGGGAAAGAUUUAUCGCCAUUGGAGCAGCCCGCGUUGGAUUAGGUAGUUGGUGGGGUAAUGGCCCACCAAGCCGACGAUCCAUAGCUGGUCUGAGAGGAUGAUCAGCCACACUGGGACUGAGACACGGCCCAGACUCCUACGGGAGGCAGCAGUGGGGAAUCUUGCGCAAUGGGCGAAAGCCUGACGCAGCCAUGCCGCGUGAAUGAUGAAGGUCUUAGGAUUGUAAAAUUCUUUCACCGGGGAAGAUAAUGACGGUACCCGGAGAAGAAGCCCCGGCUAACUUCGUG
This 431-nucleotide ribosomal RNA is filed under the name uncultured bacterium. RNAcentral's name for it is "partial 16S ribosomal RNA". It matches the Rfam family "Bacterial small subunit ribosomal RNA", at positions 29 to 507 of the family's 1533-position model. The record is from RNAcentral.